GUGAGGAAUUUUCCGCAAUGGGCGAAAGCCUGACGGAGCAAUGCCGCGUGAAGGAUGAAGGCCUAUGGGUUGUAAACUUCUUUUCUCAGAAAAGAAUUAUGACGGUAUCUGAGGAAUAAGCAUCGGCUAACUCUGUGCCAGCAGCCGCGGUAAGACAGAGGAUGCAAGCGUUAUCCGGAAUGAUUGGGCGUAAAGCGUCUGUAGGUUGUUUAAAAAGUAUUCUGUCAAAGAUUAGGGCUUAACCCUAGAUAGGCAGAAUAAACUUUUAAGCUAGAGUUUGGUAGAGGCAUAGAGAAUUCCCGGUGGAGCGGUGAAAUGCGUAGAUAUCGGGAGGAACACCAAAGGCGAAGGCACUCUGCUGGGCCAAUACUAACACUGAGAGACGAAAGCGAGGGGAGCAAAUGGGAUUAGAAACCCCGGUAGUCC
RNAcentral lists this ribosomal RNA (426 nucleotides) under uncultured bacterium. RNAcentral's name for it is "bacterial SSU rRNA". It matches the Rfam family "Bacterial small subunit ribosomal RNA", at positions 354 to 796 of the family's 1533-position model. The record is from RNAcentral.